UGCUGAUAAAAUGAAACUGAAGAGUUUCAGUUACAGAAGCUUCAAGUAUGCAGAUUCUGGAGGUAAAAAUUUGGAAUACAUGGGAUAACUGUAUGAGCUAGGAAAUGUAAUGUGUGGGCUGGUGUGGUGUGGUCAAAUGGUAGAGCGUUCAACUGCUAUCCUGAAAGUCUUGAGUUUGGAUCCCAUGUUGAGUCCAUACGACGUCCCUGAGCCCCCCACCUCUUGACUUAUGGUAGGGAAAGAAAAGGCAGCUGCCCCAUGGACUAGGCUCAAAAGGGUACUUUAAUUUACUUUUUAGCGCAAUUUCCAUUCUGGAGAAUUGCGUUUAUUAACUCGUCUUUUCUGGGAAUGAAUGGAUGGAUGGAUGUGUGUCCGCAGCUUUAAGUCGUAUCUCCUCCUCAACGAAGCAAUAUCGAGGACUAGUUCCAAAAGCAAUUAUGUUAAGCAAGUUACGAGGAUGAACAUAGGCCAUAAAAAUUACGGGUUUCUUUCAUGGAUUUCCCGGAAAAGCCAAAAAACCUCGAAAAAAUGUAGUUUUUGGCCCAUAACUCGGCAACCAGACCACUUAGCGACUUGAAACAUGUACCAAUCGAUUCCUGCCAUAAUUUAGAACAAUAUUGCCGAAGAAAGUUUUCAAAAAUAUCCUUUCGUUUGGUCACAAAAAAAUUUUUGAAUUAAUUAAAAUUUGGACCGAAUUAGUAGGCAUUUUAUGCAACCACACCACACGCGUCAUCACGUUCAAUAGCUGCGCCAUCACGUUCAAUGGCUGCGACGUCACGUUCGGUAGCUGGGCGCGCAAUGGUUUUUAGUCAUGUUACUCUAUUGUAAAUAAAACAUGUAAAAUACUGAAAAAAAAAUUAAUAAAAAACGUUUUAAUAACUAACCAAUGGUUUUACUAACCCUGCUCUUGAUUUACGCUACGACAGAGCUAUUUUUAGAUAACACAAGGAAAUUGCGCUAAAAUUGUCACUAGACUUUUUUUAAUUACUUGUUUACAGAAGUAUUGCAGCUUAUUACAUAUGUUCUAGAUAAUCCUUUAUGAUAGGAAUAAUACACCACAAGUAGUAUAAUUAAAGAUUUAAUUUAUAGAGACUAAGGCAACGAAUACAAGCUAGCAUGGAAACUUUUGGGUCUCUCAACAUAGCCUUCUGGCAUUAUUUGGUGGCAUUAUUUUGGUGAGAAUACAGCCCCCACAAAUGCAGUAAUUAAAGCAUUUCAUCUACCCUACUGAACAACAAGAUUUCAAAGGGUAAUUUUCUUUCUAUUUUAACAGAGCACAAUUUAAUUAGUAAAUAAAAUACUAACCACAAGGGACAUUACUUUACCACAUUCAUCUCAGAUAAUUGUAUUUCAUAAUAAUCUUCCGAUUCUCAUAAAGCUUAUUCUAAGAAAUUUUCGCCCCUUCAGGUUUUCUCAAAACAAAAAAUAAAUCAAACAAGCAGUUUUGCCAAAAAAUUCUUUAUUUCUAAAGCCCUAUUACACUGGAAGUGCAAUCCCUCUUACUGUUAUAUAAGAAUAUACGAGAAGUUUAAAGCAAAUUACUCUUGCUUUAUUGAAAUUAUUUUUACGGCAUUUAAAAGUGUGUUUUUUUAUUACGAUUUAAUGAAAAAUGAUGAGUUCUUUUCAGGUUAAUACGAAUAAACAAUGAAGAUGAACAAUGAAGGUAUGAAAAAGCCAGAGAUGAAGUCAACAUGAUAUAUAAAGACGUUUGAGAUUGACACAAAAAUAAAACUGCAGCCAAAAAAUGAUAAAAAAAGAAGAAGCAACUAGCAACUACCAUAGUGGUACAAGAUACAGGAAUUCAUCAAAGAAAAAGGCAUUAGCAAUUGAGUACAAAGAGAUGGAUUCUAACAAUGGUUGACAAACACACACAGAAUAUGGCACCUUGAAAACUGGUAUAAUAAAUAAUUUAGCAUUGCCAUAAAUCAUCUACAACUAUAUUGUUUAGAACACAUAGGCCAUAGUAAAGUCCACCAUGUCAAUUAUGUCAUUCCUGCCAUUUAGAGUAAUAGUGCAGGACAAAAGAUGCUACUUUAGAAGAGGAGACAUGACAAUUUCACACUCACCAAAAUAUCACUCUAACCCAAAUUAUCAAUCCAACCCAAAUUAUCACCCUAACCUCAAUGAUCAAUCCAACCCAAAUUAUCACCCUAACCCCAAUGACCACUCUAACCCAAAGUAUCACCCUAACCCAAAUUAUCACCCUAACCCAUAUUAUCACUGGGUGCUUUCCAGAAGUCACUACCAGUGUUUCUC
Long non-coding RNA from Physella acuta, 2256 nucleotides. RefSeq lists it as uncharacterized. The record is from RefSeq and is a predicted model, not a curated record. NCBI's taxonomy places the organism in Eukaryota, Metazoa, Mollusca, Gastropoda, Physidae.